CGUGUCGUGAGAUGUUGGGUUAAGUCCCGCAACGAGCGCAACCCUUGUCUCUAGUUGCUACGCAAGAGCACUCUAGAGAGACUGCCGGUGACAAACCGGAGGAAGGUGGGGAUGACGUCAAGUCCUCAUGGCCCUUAUGGGUAGGGCUUCACACGUCAUACAAUGGUGCGUACAGAGGGUUGCCAACCCGCGAGGGGGAGCUAAUCCCAGAAAACGCAUCGUAGUCCGGAUCGUAGUCUGCAACUCGACUACGUGAAGCUGGAAUCGCUAGUAAUCGCGGAUCAGCAUGCCGCGGUGAAUACGUUCCCGGGUCUU
This 315-nucleotide ribosomal RNA is filed under the name uncultured bacterium. RNAcentral's name for it is "bacterial SSU rRNA". It matches the Rfam family "Bacterial small subunit ribosomal RNA", at positions 1061 to 1382 of the family's 1533-position model. The record is from RNAcentral.